This is a long non-coding RNA of Heterocephalus glaber (naked mole-rat), 2933 nucleotides long. The record is from Ensembl. Lineage: Eukaryota; Metazoa; Chordata; Mammalia; Rodentia; Bathyergidae.
AUGGAAUGUGGGUGUGACUCACAGGAGCUGCAACUGCGGAAAGCAAAAACCCAUCUGUGCAUUCACUCACUUGGCAGACAAAUGGCAAGGUGUAUACAAGAGCUCCAAAGCAGUAACAGAAGUAGCCCAGUUGAGUACAAUGGCACAAGAAAAAUCAGAUUUGGAAGUUUUGGAGAAGGUUGAAAGUGAAACAUCAGAUUAGUCCUGCAUGGACAAUGAAGAUGAUAAUGAUUUUGACAUUGGCCAUGUGAACCAAAGUUCCUAUACAGUGAAAUGGAGCAAGAAUUAACCAAUACAGAUACAGAGAAUGCAGACCUUCCUGAUUCAGAUGAUGAAGAAAACAGCAAUUGAGCCCUUAUGUUUUCAGUCUACCUCUGAAGAAUUUUAUACCCAUGUAAGUAUUCAUGAACUGCAUGGUUUUUUUCCCUUUGGCUUAACAGUUUCAAUUUAUGUGAAUUGUAUUAUUCUGCCUCAUGGUUUUCUUUUUUUCUCAAGGUUUCAUUUUUCACAGGAAUUGUGCAAGAAAACGAAGUUAUUCGGUCUAGGACUUUCUCAAGUGGUGUUUGCAACAGAAUUGCACUUAUACCUGCUAAAGGGUAAACCACAGAAUGUUUCAGUGGACUUGAGCAAACGACUGGGGCCAGUUUUCCUUCCUGUAACAUCUCAGCUUAGGGUGCCCUAACUCACCAACCAAACAGGUUUGCAUCUAGGAUUUUCCACACAACCAGUGAACUGCCUAAAAGCCACCUGCUGUGAAAAUCUUCCAUUAGAAAUGCCUCUCCUGAGUUUGCCUUCCUGGACACUGUGCAGGUCCGCCCUGUCUCAGUGCAGUCAAAUUCUUUGUUUCUCAAGUAAUUCCAUUUCCUUUUACUUCAACGUCAGUAUUUUAAAUUACUUAACAGUAUAUAAGAUGAGGCGUGAACAUGCUGUAGGGAUCUAUUUUUAAAUACAGUCAUUUGAACUAAUCACCCUCUAAAAGGCAACAAUGGUCACUGGAUUUAAAAAAAUCUUAACAUCAUUGUGUUAGUCUCCUGUCAACCACUGGACGGGAUGUUUGAGCAAAUCCAUUCAAAAGGAGGAAAGAUUUAUUACGAAUCAACGUUUCUGAGGUUUCAGUCUGCAGUCGGCUGACUCUGUUGUUCUGGGGCCAGUGGCAAGGCAGGAUGUCACAGUGGGAGCGCAUGGCAAAGGGAAACUCAGCUCAUGGUGGCCAUCAAGCAGAGAGAGAUGGGGAGGAGCCAAGGUCUGAAUAUUCCCAGGAGGACCAGCCCUCGGUGACGUAACUUCCCUCCCCCAGCCCCAGACCCUAAAGGCUCCAGCAUUUCCCAACAGCACCACAGGCUGGUGCCCAAGCCUUUAGGGUUAUGGGCCUUUUGGGCGACACUUAUUGUCCAAAUAGUAAUAAUCAGGGGUGACAACACAGCAAGGAAUGGCUAGAGAAAAUUCUAGGAGAAAAACAGCCCAGAAGAUGAAGGGGGGAAUAUCAGUAUCAAAAUCAAAUUUUCCAUAGAUCAUUUACUGAUACUAUGAAUGUCUGCAACUUCAGGAGACAAGAGGGACAGAAACAUGGCUUAUCUAAGGAAGAGAUGUUUAUCAGAGAUGGGCCCAGAACUGCACUAGAAAUGAAAAGAACUCUGCCCUCCUGGCUAGAGCAAACCAUAAGUACAUCUGCAUUUUUCUGAGCUCCUGAGUACUGCAGGGAAGGCAGCUGUCAUAUUGAAUGGAAUGUUAAAAAGGAGGCAGGGGAUUUAGCUCAGUGGCACCGUGCCUGCCUCGCAAGCACAAGGUCCUGAGUUUGAUCCCUGGUACCCCCCAAAUUAAAUUAAAUUAAAAAGGAAUAGAAAUAUAAAAAAAUGUGUGGCCCAGUCAUUGUGAAGUCACAGCCCAAGUUCCCCUAACAUGGUAAACCCCACUCUGCACAUUGGGCUCAAAGGGUGGAGCUCAAAUGACACUGCCAAGUCUGGUUGGUUGGACAGCUGAAUUCUCCCCAGAAGAAAGAACUCUCAUCCUACACUUCAGGGAAUCCCAACAAAUAGUUUUACAAAGGGAAAUGAGCAUCAGAGUCAAAGUCAACCAAAACUCACAAAGAAAUAUGUCCCAUUGAAUGAGAACCUGCAGAAACAAAAGUUAAAGAAUGAUGCAGUGACUAUAGGGCAGAGAAACAAUUAAGGCUGGAGAAUUUAAUUAGUAAAUUAUGUGGCUGUGGCAACUAUCCCACGGUAUACACGGGAAGAAAAUAGGUCACAAGGCUACUGUGAUUUUGAAGAAAUUGUACUAUGAAAGGAAUUAAGAUCCUAGACUUCAAAAAGCAUUUGCAUACCCAAAAUGUCAUGGACAAUAAGUGGACUUACUCCAAGGAAAAUAUAACCAUUAAAAUCCACUUCCAACGGGGCCAAGGAGGAAAGUGGACAAGGAAGAACCUGUACAGACGUACAACGCCGGUGGAACACAAUGUUGGGCACAGUAAGACCUUACAGAGGAAUGUAGGAACUUAGGAAUCUGGGAACGCAGAAUGCAAAGCAUUCCUAAGUCCUUCCUGAUGUUCCAUAGAUAAACAUGCUUGGAGCAACAGAGCUAAGCAGGGCGAGAAAGAUAAUUUAGUACAAGGAAAUUUGUUCCGGCACGAUUUUCCUCAUUUAUAGAGUAUGGCGUGCUGUUGUGUGACAAUGCUUCUGUGACUCUUUUUGAGACAUCUCGUCCCCACUCUGGGUGUCUCAGGAUCGUGUGUGUCCACCCUCUCAGACUUCUUUGAAGCCGUCUUCGAGGCGCUGCCUUAAUCCUCCCUGAGGUCUUGGUGAUGACAACACACUCAGAUAGCCUUUGCCCUAAACCUGUGCUUUAGAAUGACUUUCCAGUUUCAAAUGUUGGUCAUUUUCAUUGUCCACAGUUUGAGAUGAGAACCAGUCUCACUUCCUGAAAAUUGUGAAACCCUG